This is a long non-coding RNA of Capra hircus (goat), 2554 nucleotides long. RefSeq lists it as uncharacterized. Lineage: Eukaryota; Metazoa; Chordata; Mammalia; Artiodactyla; Bovidae. The transcript has 5 exons. The record is from RefSeq and is a predicted model, not a curated record.
CUUUUUUUUUCUCUCUCUCUCACUUUUUAAAUUUUUUUUAUUUUUUUGAGUCUCAAUCGUGUGGACAUCACUGGGAAUGAAGGGAAAUAACUGACUGAAUGGUCGUUGCCUUUUAAGUUUCAAACCGACAUUCCAGGCGGGUUGUGCCUGAGCCAGCCUCGGGCUUUCAGACCUUCAUAGCCUGGUCCUGAGAAGGUAGAGCUCUCAGCUUCUCCCUGGACUCCCGUGGACCGGAAACAAAGCAGAAACGCGAAUCCCCGGCUCAGGCGUUUACUCGGAGAUGGGCAAAGUGAGGCGAAGCAGGAGGGGAUAGGAUGUGACUGAGCCGUACAGCCUCCAGCAUCUUGCUCCUGGACGGGCUGGAUCCUACAGGGAGACUCUGGAGCUGGCACCGUGAUUUCCCACAUAUGAAGAUAAGCUGUCCUCCUGUCAUUGGCUGCAUUGGCCGGGAAAGUGUUCCCUCUUGUUCAGCAGACUGGCAUAGGGCCUGAGAGCACAGCUUGGGCGCGGCAGACCAGGAGGACCCCAGCACCCCCAUUCCCAGCUGCACACCCCGGGCGCUUCCCUUGACCUCCCUGGACUUUGGUCCCCUCAUCUGAAGUGGAGGUCAUGAUAGACGCAGGGGCCUGUCAUUGUGAGUACUGAGUGAGAGCAGAGCACACGAGACGGUGGGGUACGUUCUGCCGCUGCUGCCGCUGUUGCGUGUGAUCCUGUAUCAUCUGCUGUGCUGCCCCUAGGACUGCCACUGGAGCAAGAAGCCUCAUUCUCUUGCUCAGUGGUCCUGUGACUUCUCAGUUCACUCAACCAUUCUGAGCCUCAGUGCUUUUAUUUAUAACAUGGGGAGGAUAACCCCUUUCUCAUAAGAUUCUUGUUAAAACCAGAUGAAACAACACAUUUUUAAAGUUCUCUGAGCACUUUAUAAUAAUAUUACAAUAAUAUAUAAUAAUGUUUGUAAUAAUAAUAUAAUAAUGCAGAUAGAAUUUAUUGAAUACUUCCUAGCACCAGUGCCGUGGUUUGCUUUUCACUUACAAUUUUUCACUUAAUCCUUAUAACCGUGAGUCAUUAGUCUCAUUUAUGUAGAUUGGGAAACUAAGGUCCCCGAGAAGCAAUCUGCUCAAAGACACAGCCUGUAAGCAACAGAAUCCAGACUUGGACCCCUCACCCCAGAUCUGGGCUUCCCAGGUGCCUCAGCAGUAAAGAAUCUGCCAGCCAACACGGAAGACACAGGUUCAGUCCCUGGGUUGGGAAGAUCCCCUGGAGAAGGAAAUGGAAACCUACUCCAGUAUUCCUACCUAGGAAAUCCAACGGGCAGAGCAGAGGAGCCUUGUGGGCUACACUCCACAGGGUCACACAGAGUCAGACACAGCUUACGGACCAAACGCAACAGCAGCAACCACCUAGGGUCUGGCUGUGUUCGUGCUUCAGAGAGGAAGUAAGCCGGGGAGGGAGAGAGCAGCGUGGCAUGCGGGCUCACUCCCACUAGCAAGUCUGGCUAUAUUUAGGUCAAUGAAUUGUAUUGAAGAUGGACUCAUCAGUGAUUUCUUUCAUUCAUGAAAUGAAUUCUUUCAUUCAGAAGUUAUUGAAAGGACUUCUGCUCCAGAUAGAAUAGCAUAAAAUGGUUCUUCUCUUGUCCUCUCCCACCUUGGGAUAAUGAUAAACUCUGGAAAAAAUUCAAGCCACCAUUAAGAAUGAAAAGGCAAGCCGCAGUGGGAGAAGAUAUUUGCAAAUCCGAAAACUGAGAAGAGGCUUGUAUCCAGAAUAAUUAAAAAUUUCCAUACAUCCAAAUGAGUCAAAGAUUUGGACAGGCAUGUCACCAAAGAAGUUACACAGUUUGCCAAGAAAUAUGAGCAGCAGAGUGCAACGUGAAAUCCCAAGGAUACACGUCUAUAUAUCCACCAAAGUGGCUGAGAAUAAACAAACUAAAUAAUACAAAGUGCUGCAGAGGAUGUAAGGCAAAUACACCUGCCAUCCACUGGCUAGCAGGGGUGUAAACUGGCGCUUACCAUCACUUUGGAAAAUUGUUUGACAGCCCUGAGUGCUAAGCAUUGUAUAUCCCAUGGCUCAGCAAUUCUACCCCUCUUAAUACACCCAACUGAAGUACAUACUCCUGUGCACUCAAGACAUAUACAAAACUGCUCAUAACCAUCCAGUUACAAUAACAGAAGACUGAAAACACCCCAAACAUCCACCAGCAGUGGAAUGGAUAAUUCUAUUGUGGUGUCCUUCACAAUGAAAUUGAACAAUUGGAUGCAACACACAAUAACACAGAACUGAAAUCAUGCUCGAUGAAAGAAGACAAAGAAGAGGGUACCGUGCGGGAUUCUACGUACUCCAGGUUCAAGAAAGACAGAGUCAGUCAAUGAGGGCUGGCACCUAGAUGGUAGUUAUUUGGAGGGUGUGACGGGACGGAGGCAAAAGGUGGGGUACUUUGGAGGUGCAGCAAAUGUCUUGUUUCUAGAUCUGGGCAGUGACUCCAUAGGUCUGGGCCCUGAGUAUUUGUCAAAUUCUUAUGCUUAUCACUCAUCUGUUUUUCUCUAUGUAGGUUUCACUUCAA